RNAcentral lists this ribosomal RNA (426 nucleotides) under uncultured bacterium. Its description in RNAcentral is "bacterial SSU rRNA". It matches the Rfam family "Bacterial small subunit ribosomal RNA", at positions 506 to 930 of the family's 1533-position model. The record is from RNAcentral.
UGCCAGCAGCCGCGGUAAUACAGAGGUCCCAAGCGUUGUUCGGAUUCACUGGGCGUAAAGGGUGCGUAGGUGGUCAGGUAAGUCUGAUGUGAAAGCUCUGGGCUCAACCCAGAAAUGGCAUUGGAUACUAUCUGGCUAGAGGAAUGGAGGGGGGACUGGAAUACUUGGUGUAGCAGUGAAAUGCGUAGAUAUCAAGUGGAACACCAGUGGCGAAGGCGAGUCCCUGGACAUUUCCUGACACUGAGGCACGAAAGCUAGGGGAGCAAACAGGAUUAGAUACCCUGGUAGUCCUAGCUGUAAACUGUGCACGUUUGCUGUAAAAGGAAUCGACCCCUUUUGUGGCGAAGCUAACGCGUUAAACGUGCCGCCUGGGAAGUACGGUCGCAAGAUUAAAACUCAAAGGAAUUGACGGGGGCCCGCACAAGG